Molecule: long non-coding RNA, 1401 nt
Organism: Patella vulgata (common limpet)
Lineage: Eukaryota; Metazoa; Mollusca; Gastropoda; Patellidae
Exons: 3
Source: RefSeq, a predicted model, not a curated record
CCUUUACACAGCAGCAGACGCCUUAGAUAAACAAAGAUAACCGCUUAAAGCCAGGUGUAAAGCAAGAUACCAUACACAUCAGCGAAUUUACCAUGGUUUACAAACUACAGUGCAAAGACAUGACCAUUUGUUCCUCUGUCUGUAGUGAAAAGCAUUCAGCCCAACGAAAAUUUUGGGAAAAGUUGGAGGUGGGCAAAGAGGCCAGAAUUAACAUUGAAGUCAAUGGGUAAAUUAAUGGUGGUCUGCCGCCUUAUAGCAAAGUCGAUAGAUCGGUAAUAGAUGUACUUGUUACAAGUGAAAACUUUCUUGUAUGGUUUUGUGUAUAUUGUUCAAAUAUAAAAGUGACAGCCAAACAUAUGCUGACAGUGACAUUGAUUUUAAUAGUGAUGAUGAUAUUGAUGAAAUUAUGUGAGUAGGCUUACACCUGUAUACAUGUAUUUUUGUAAGCAGUUUUUAAAUAUUACAUAUUUUAAAUAUGUUUUACUUAAAUGUACUGUACAUGUCAAUAAAUUUUCAUAUUAUAUUUUGUCACUUUAUGCUAUAUGUUUUUAUUUUACUUUUUUAUUCUAAUUCAUUUCCGACGGUUUCCCCUUGUCAGUGGUGCAGACGGAGGGCUGACAAGGCACAAGGACAGCAGUCUAGUCGAGGUCCCGUGUAUAAAUUGGUGUGCACGUAAAAAGAUCCUUUGGCAGUUGUAAUUUGAUAUAAACGUAGGCCAUAGUGCUGUGCCCAGGCUAAAUUUGCUUUAUAGCACACUGUAUGGCGUAUAUGCCCAUCUUCAUUAGACCAUUUCAUUUCUAAUUCAUUUUACUAGAACCAUUUUACUUAGGUAAUUACUGUUUGUUUUUCUCUUAUAUGUACUUUUAUUUACUGGUUGGUAUAUAUCUUUUAAUUUUGUACAGUGUAUAUGGGUACAAGACCUGAUCUCUGUGUAAAUACAUGUAUUAUAAGAACCUGAACAGCACAUUAGAAACUGUUCUCCAGUAUUAAUACACUUUAAAAAAUGAUGAUGUUAUUAUAAUUAUUAUAUACAUUUUUCAUUAAUACUAGUGGUGUAUGUUAUUGUUGUGUACGAGGAAAUUUAUAUAAUUGCAUUUGUUUAUUUUUUUUAAUUUCUUUCUUUAAAUAAAUGUAAUCUUAUACUCUCUUAUAGGGGGUUGGGUAGCCGAAUGGGUAGCAUAUGCGCGCUGUAUCAUAAGGUCUGUCAUUGAGUCCACUAGCAUGGGUUAGAUUCCACGGUUGUACUUGACAAGGAGAAGGGUGGCCUGUCCAACCUCAUGGGUUUUCUCCGGGUCCUCCGGUUUCCUCCCACUGCUAAAGACCACUACACGCAAGCGAAUUAUUGGAAUAAAAUUGAACCAAAAUUACCUAGUUUGUGUCGAGUGGAAGUUAAACCCCAUU